Molecule: ribosomal RNA, 2905 nt
Filed under: Escherichia coli
Lineage: Bacteria; Pseudomonadati; Pseudomonadota; Gammaproteobacteria; Enterobacterales; Enterobacteriaceae
Description: 23S ribosomal RNA
Rfam family: Bacterial large subunit ribosomal RNA
Source: RNAcentral
GGUUAAGCGACUAAGCGUACACGGUGGAUGCCCUGGCAGUCAGAGGCGAUGAAGGACGUGCUAAUCUGCGAUAAGCGUCGGUAAGGUGAUAUGAACCGUUAUAACCGGCGAUUUCCGAAUGGGGAAACCCAGUGUGAUUCGUCACACUAUCAUUAACUGAAUCCAUAGGUUAAUGAGGCGAACCGGGGGAACUGAAACAUCUAAGUACCCCGAGGAAAAGAAAUCAACCGAGAUUCCCCCAGUAGCGGCGAGCGAACGGGGAGCAGCCCAGAGCCUGAAUCAGUGUGUGUGUUAGUGGAAGCGUCUGGAAAGGCGCGCGAUACAGGGUGACAGCCCCGUACACAAAAAUGCACAUGCUGUGAGCUCGAUGAGUAGGGCGGGACACGUGGUAUCCUGUCUGAAUAUGGGGGGACCAUCCUCCAAGGCUAAAUACUCCUGACUGACCGAUAGUGAACCAGUACCGUGAGGGAAAGGCGAAAAGAACCCCGGCGAGGGGAGUGAAAAAGAACCUGAAACCGUGUACGUACAAGCAGUGGGAGCCUCUUUAUGGGGUGACUGCGUACCUUUUGUAUAAUGGGUCAGCGACUUAUAUUCUGUAGCAAGGUUAACCGAAUAGGGGAGCCGAAGGGAAACCGAGUCUUAACUGGGCGUUAAGUUGCAGGGUAUAGACCCGAAACCCGGUGAUCUAGCCAUGGGCAGGUUGAAGGUUGGGUAACACUAACUGGAGGACCGAACCGACUAAUGUUGAAAAAUUAGCGGAUGACUUGUGGCUGGGGGUGAAAGGCCAAUCAAACCGGGAGAUAGCUGGUUCUCCCCGAAAGCUAUUUAGGUAGCGCCUCGUGAAUUCAUCUCCGGGGGUAGAGCACUGUUUCGGCAAGGGGGUCAUCCCGACUUACCAACCCGAUGCAAACUGCGAAUACCGGAGAAUGUUAUCACGGGAGACACACGGCGGGUGCUAACGUCCGUCGUGAAGAGGGAAACAACCCAGACCGCCAGCUAAGGUCCCAAAGUCAUGGUUAAGUGGGAAACGAUGUGGGAAGGCCCAGACAGCCAGGAUGUUGGCUUAGAAGCAGCCAUCAUUUAAAGAAAGCGUAAUAGCUCACUGGUCGAGUCGGCCUGCGCGGAAGAUGUAACGGGGCUAAACCAUGCACCGAAGCUGCGGCAGCGACGCUUAUGCGUUGUUGGGUAGGGGAGCGUUCUGUAAGCCUGCGAAGGUGUACUGUGAGGUAUGCUGGAGGUAUCAGAAGUGCGAAUGCUGACAUAAGUAACGAUAAAGCGGGUGAAAAGCCCGCUCGCCGGAAGACCAAGGGUUCCUGUCCAACGUUAAUCGGGGCAGGGUGAGUCGACCCCUAAGGCGAGGCCGAAAGGCGUAGUCGAUGGGAAACAGGUUAAUAUUCCUGUACUUGGUGUUACUGCGAAGGGGGGACGGAGAAGGCUAUGUUGGCCGGGCGACGGUUGUCCCGGUUUAAGCGUGUAGGCUGGUUUUCCAGGCAAAUCCGGAAAAUCAAGGCUGAGGCGUGAUGACGAGGCACUACGGUGCUGAAGCAACAAAUGCCCUGCUUCCAGGAAAAGCCUCUAAGCAUCAGGUAACAUCAAAUCGUACCCCAAACCGACACAGGUGGUCAGGUAGAGAAUACCAAGGCGCUUGAGAGAACUCGGGUGAAGGAACUAGGCAAAAUGGUGCCGUAACUUCGGGAGAAGGCACGCUGAUAUGUAGGUGAAGUCCCUUGCGGAUGGAGCUGAAAUCAGUCGAAGAUACCAGCUGGCUGCAACUGUUUAUUAAAAACACAGCACUGUGCAAACACGAAAGUGGACGUAUACGGUGUGACGCCUGCCCGGUGCCGGAAGGUUAAUUGAUGGGGUUAGCGGUAACGCGAAGCUCUUGAUCGAAGCCCCGGUAAACGGCGGCCGUAACUAUAACGGUCCUAAGGUAGCGAAAUUCCUUGUCGGGUAAGUUCCGACCUGCACGAAUGGCGUAAUGAUGGCCAGGCUGUCUCCACCCGAGACUCAGUGAAAUUGAACUCGCUGUGAAGAUGCAGUGUACCCGCGGCAAGACGGAAAGACCCCGUGAACCUUUACUAUAGCUUGACACUGAACAUUGAGCCUUGAUGUGUAGGAUAGGUGGGAGGCUUUGAAGUGUGGACGCCAGUCUGCAUGGAGCCGACCUUGAAAUACCACCCUUUAAUGUUUGAUGUUCUAACGUUGGCCCCUGAUCGGGGUUGCGGACAGUGUCUGGUGGGUAGUUUGACUGGGGCGGUCUCCUCCUAAAGAGUAACGGAGGAGCACGAAGGUUGGCUAAUCCUGGUCGGACAUCAGGAGGUUAGUGCAAUGGCAUAAGCCAGCUUGACUGCGAGCGUGACGGCGCGAGCAGGUGCGAAAGCAGGUCAUAGUGAUCCGGUGGUUCUGAAUGGAAGGGCCAUCGCUCAACGGAUAAAAGGUACUCCGGGGAUAACAGGCUGAUACCGCCCAAGAGUUCAUAUCGACGGCGGUGUUUGGCACCUCGAUGUCGGCUCAUCACAUCCUGGGGCUGAAGUAGGUCCCAAGGGUAUGGCUGUUCGCCAUUUAAAGUGGUACGCGAGCUGGGUUUAGAACGUCGUGAGACAGUUCGGUCCCUAUCUGCCGUGGGCGCUGGAGAACUGAGGGGGGCUGCUCCUAGUACGAGAGGACCGGAGUGGACGCAUCACUGGUGUUCGGGUUGUCAUGCCAAUGGCACUGCCCGGUAGCUAAAUGCGGAAGAGAUAAGUGCUGAAAGCAUCUAAGCACGAAACUUGCCCCGAGAUGAGUUCUCCCUGACUCCCUGAGAGUCCUGAAGGAACGUUGAAGACGACGACGUUGAUAGGCCGGGUGUGUAAGCGCAGCGAUGCGUUGAGCUAACCGGUACUAAUGAACCGUGAGGCUUAACCUU